CCUACGGGCGGCUGCAGUGGGGAAUAUUGGACAAUGGGGGGAACCCUGAUCCAGCCAUGCCGCGUGUGUGAAGAAGGCCCUCGGGUUGUAAAGCACUUUCAGUGAGGAAGAACGCCUGGUGGUUAAUACCCAUCAGGAAAGACAUCACUCACAGAAGAAGCACCGGCUAACUCCGUGCCAGCAGCCGCGGUAAUACGGAGGGUGCGAGCGUUAAUCGGAAUUACUGGGCGUAAAGCGCGCGUAGGUGGCUUGAUAAGCCGGUUGUGAAAGCCCCGGGCUCAACCUGGGAACGGCAUCCGGAACUGUCAAGCUAGAGUGCAGGAGAGGAAGGUAGAAUUCCCGGUGUAGCGGUGAAAUGCGUAGAGGUCGGGAGGAAUACCAGUGGCGAAGGCGGCCUUCUGGACUGACACUGACACUGAGGUGCGAAAGCGUGGGUAGCAAACAGGAUUAGAUACCCUUGUAGUC
RNAcentral lists this ribosomal RNA (465 nucleotides) under Vreelandella stevensii. RNAcentral describes it as "partial 16S ribosomal RNA". It matches the Rfam family "Bacterial small subunit ribosomal RNA", at positions 338 to 795 of the family's 1533-position model. Lineage: Bacteria; Pseudomonadati; Pseudomonadota; Gammaproteobacteria; Oceanospirillales; Halomonadaceae. The record is from RNAcentral.